CUUGGCACUGUCUGAGCGCAGGUGUUUACUGACUUACCUGUGUCACUCAGUGUCAAACA
RNAcentral lists this microRNA precursor (59 nucleotides) under Magallana gigas (Pacific oyster). RNAcentral's name for it is "Mgi-Mir-96-P2m_pre stem-loop". Lineage: Eukaryota; Metazoa; Mollusca; Bivalvia; Ostreida; Ostreidae. The record is from RNAcentral.